GUGCAGCAUUGUGUUACAGCUUCGAAUGAAAGGAUGGGGGUAUGACAUGUGGCCUGGAUCCAGAAGACCCCCAUUGGAAGCUCAUCGGGACAAAAGAACUCGCCAUACGAUCUCCUUGCGAUAGUUGGUUAGCAAUAACGAUAAUACUUGGUGGUACGAUUACUUGAUAAAACACAAUCGCUCUGAGAAAAAAAAAGUAAAUUGCAGAACUCACUAUGACAUCAUUUCAAUAUUUUGACACUGCAAUAAAGAAAAUACACGACACGAUAAACCAAUCAGAUCUAAUGUAACUAGAGAGGGAAACAAAAAAGUGUUAAAAUCGCACAAUCCGAGAUAUCCACCCUGGCUUUGCACUUCGGCCAAAACAAAACGCAUCAGCCGUGAAACGUCUGGUUUAGCGCUCAUUCAGACUGAUCUGCGCAGAUUAGCGACAAAGUAAAUGAAAACUGAAAAUCUCCCGAAAAAAAACUCACUGGAGGAUUUGCCACUGACACAUGGUGAACUCCAGUGCAAAAACCUUUCCCUUCAAUGAUCUGCAGCGCCGAAAUUCGCCAAACUGCAGGUUGGGCCUCAAAAUGAGUCGAUUAAGUUUGUUAUUCAGUCAUGCUUCAUUUAAUAGCGGGGACAUGAUGUAUUUUGUACAGAAUUCUUUUGCAUUGAGCUGUACUGGACCAUUGUUGUUGGUCUUGUAGUCAUAAAUUCUGUUCUCAAAUUCCGGAUCCAAA
This is a long non-coding RNA of Syngnathus acus (greater pipefish), 725 nucleotides long. RefSeq lists it as uncharacterized. The record is from RefSeq and is a predicted model, not a curated record. Lineage: Eukaryota; Metazoa; Chordata; Actinopteri; Syngnathiformes; Syngnathidae. The transcript is spliced from 2 exons.